Molecule: ribosomal RNA, 1989 nt
Filed under: activated sludge metagenome
Description: bacterial LSU rRNA
Rfam family: Bacterial large subunit ribosomal RNA
Source: RNAcentral
UCAAGUUACUAAGGGUGCAUGGUGGAUGCCUAGGCGUCGAGAGGCGAAGAAGGACGUGGUAGGCUGCGAUAAGCUCCGGGGAGCUGUCAAACGAGCAUUGAUCCGGAGAUUUCCGAAUGGGGAAACCCGGCGUCACUCCGCAAGGAGAUGGCGUCACGGCAGGCUGAAUGCAUAGGCCUGUGCGAGCAAACCCAGGGAACUGACACAUCUCAGUACCUGGAGGAAAAGAAAUCAACCGAGAUUCCGUUAGUAGCGGCGAGCGAAAGCGGACCUAGCCCAAACCGGGUUUCGGCCCGGGGUUGCGGAAGCAGAGAGCGGUUACAAAGGCAUUGUUAGCGGAAGUGCUUGGAAAGGCACACCACAGAGGGUGACAGUCCCGUACGCGACAACAACUGCCCCGCGUUACCAUCUGCUCUCCAGAGUAGCACGGAGCUCGUGGAACUCCGUGUGAAGCCGGGGGGCCCACCCUCCAAGGCUAAAUACUACUCGACGACCGAUAGUGAACAAGUAAGGUGACUGAAAGGUGGAAAGAACCCCUACUAGGGGAGUUAUAAGAACCUGAAACCGUGUACCUACAAGCGGUCGGAGCUCGAUGUUCACCUUCGGGUGGACCGAGUGACGGCGUACCUUUUGCAUAAUGGACCGGCGAGUUAUUCUCAGCGGCUUGGUUAAGCACUUCCGGUGCGGAGCCGUAGCGAAAGCGAGUCUGAAAUGGGCGAUAUGUCGCUGGGGAUAGACCCGAAACCAGGUGAUCUACCCAUGGACAGGUUGAAGUGCCCGUAAAAGGGUGCGGAGGACCGAAGCCGUGAACGUUGAAAAGUUCUGGCAUGAGCUGUGGGGAGGAGUAAAAGUCUAAUCAAACCUGGAGAUAUCUGGUUCUCCUCGAAAUGUUUUUUGGAACAGCCUCGGGCCACUACGUCAUGGGGGUAGAGCUACUGAAUGAAACGCGGGAGCCACCAGCUUGCCGCCUUCAAUCAAACUCCGAAUACCAUGACGACUAUCCCGGGAGUGAGUCCACGAGGUCAAUCUCCGUGGACGAAAGGGGAAAAACCCAGCUCGCCUGCUAAGGUCCCCAAUUUACGCUCAGUGCAUAAGGAAGUUUGGCUUCCGAGACAUCGGGGAUGUUGGCUUAGAAGCAGCCACCAUUUAAAAAGUGCGUAACAGCUUACCCGACGAGAAACCAAGCGCCGAUAAUGAUCGGGACUAAGCGUAAAACCGAAGCAGCGGAUUCGUACGGCCUGCGGGCUUGUACGAGUGGUAGAGGAGCGUUGAUCAGCAGAUACGGGCCAUACCGUAAGGAGUGGUGGCGGGCUGAUCAAGUGAUAAUGCCGGUAUGAGUAACGAUAAACCGGGUGUAAUUCCCGGUCGCCGUAAACCUAAGGUUUCCUGGGGAAGGGCAAUCCGCCCAGGGUUAGCCGGAUCCUAAGACCAGGCCGAAAGGCGUAGUCGAUGGACAGCAGGUUAAUAUUCCUGCGCCGCGUCAUGCGGUUGAACCAUGCGUGCGUUUUUCCAAGCUGCAGCCCACCAUGAGACGUGAGGGUUCCCGAGAGGGCACCAGGCGCUUUGUUCCUGGUAGUGCGGGGCGGAAGAACCGAGAAAAGCGUAUGGGGACAAGUGGCGCGUCCGUACUAAAACUGACACAGGUAGGUGAGGCGAGUAGCCUCAGGCGCUCGAGAGAACCGUCCUUAAGGAACUAGGCAAUUUUACCCCGUAACUUCGGGAUAAGGGGUCCCUUUUCCGCUGCAGCAAUGUUGCGGGCGAGGGCGCAGAAAAUCGGCACUGGCGACUGUUUAUCAAAAACACAGGUCUCUGCCAAGUCGCACAGACGACGUAUAGAGACUGACGCCUGCUCGGUGCGGGAAUGUUAAGGAAGCCGGUCAGGGGCAACCCGAAGCUGGCAACCGAAGCACCCGUAAACGGCGGCCCUAACUAUGAGGGUCCUAAGGUAGCGAAAUUCCUUGUCGGGUAAGUUCCGACGCGCAUGAAUGG